UAGGGAAUCUUCCGCAAUGGACGCAAGUCUGACGGAGCAACGCCGCGUGAGUGAAGAAGGAUUUCGGUUCGUAAAACUCUGUUGUUAGAGAAGAACAGCGCAUAGAGUAACUGUUAUGCGUGUGACGGUAUCUAACCAGAAAGCCACGGCUAACUACGUGCCAGCAGCCGCGGUAAUACGUAGGUGGCAAGCGUUGUCCGGAUUUAUUGGGCGUAAAGCGAGCGCAGGCGGUCAAUUAAGUCUGAUGUGAAAGCCCCCGGCUCAACCGGGGAGGGUCAUUGGAAACUGGUUGACUUGAGUGCAGAAGAGGAGAGUGGAAUUCCAUGUGUAGCGGGGAAAUGCGUAGAUAUAUGGAGGAACACCAGUGGCGAAGGCGACUCUCUGGUCUGUAACUGACGCGGAGGCUCGAAAGCGUGGGUAGCAAACAGG
Molecule: ribosomal RNA, 429 nt
Filed under: Bacteroidota bacterium
Lineage: Bacteria; Pseudomonadati; Bacteroidota
Description: Bacteroidetes bacterium partial 16S ribosomal RNA
Rfam family: Bacterial small subunit ribosomal RNA
Source: RNAcentral